RNAcentral lists this ribosomal RNA (507 nucleotides) under uncultured fungus. RNAcentral's name for it is "SSU rRNA". It matches the Rfam family "Eukaryotic small subunit ribosomal RNA", at positions 569 to 1078 of the family's 1831-position model. The record is from RNAcentral. Lineage: Eukaryota; Fungi.
AGCAGCCGCGGUAAUUCCAGCUCCAAUAGCGUAUAUUAAAGUUGUUGCAGUUAAAAAGCUCGUAGUUGAAUUUCGAGACCGGUUUACUGGUCGUGCUUUUGUACGUACUGGUAUUAUUGGUUUCUCCUUUCUGACGAACUAUAAUGCCAUUAAUUUGGUGUUUUAGGGAAUCAGGACUGUUACUUUGAAAAAAUUAGAGUGUUUAAAGCAGGCUCACGCUUGAAUACAUUAGCAUGGAAUAACGGAAUAGGACGUUUGAUUCUAUUUUGUUGGUUUCUAGGAUCGACGUAAUGAUUAAUAGGGAUAGUUGGGGGCAUUAGUAUUCAAUUGUCAGAGGUGAAAUUCUUGGAUUUAUUGAAGACUAACUACUGCGAAAGCAUUUGCCAAGGAUGUUUUCAUUAAUCAAGAACGAAAGUUAGGGGAUCGAAGACGAUCAGAUACCGUCGUAGUCUUAACCAUAAACUAUGCCGACUAGGGAUCGGAUGAUGUUAAUCUUUUAAUGACUCA